RNAcentral lists this ribosomal RNA (633 nucleotides) under Herbaspirillum sp. R235-1. RNAcentral describes it as "bacterial SSU rRNA". It matches the Rfam family "Bacterial small subunit ribosomal RNA", at positions 66 to 695 of the family's 1533-position model. The record is from RNAcentral. Lineage: Bacteria; Pseudomonadati; Pseudomonadota; Betaproteobacteria; Burkholderiales; Oxalobacteraceae.
GCAGCAUAGGAGCUUGCUCCUGAUGGCGAGUGGCGAACGGGUGAGUAAUAUAUCGGAACGUGCCCUAGAGUGGGGGAUAACUAGUCGAAAGAUUAGCUAAUACCGCAUACGAUCUACGGAUGAAAGUGGGGGAUCGCAAGACCUCAUGCUCCUGGAGCGGCCGAUAUCUGAUUAGCUAGUUGGUGGGGUAAAAGCUCACCAAGGCGACGAUCAGUAGCUGGUCUGAGAGGACGACCAGCCACACUGGGACUGAGACACGGCCCAGACUCCUACGGGAGGCAGCAGUGGGGAAUUUUGGACAAUGGGGGCAACCCUGAUCCAGCAAUGCCGCGUGAGUGAAGAAGGCCUUCGGGUUGUAAAGCUCUUUUGUCAGGGAAGAAACGGUUGCAGCUAAUAUCUGCGACUAAUGACGGUACCUGAAGAAUAAGCACCGGCUAACUACGUGCCAGCAGCCGCGGUAAUACGUAGGGUGCAAGCGUUAAUCGGAAUUACUGGGCGUAAAGCGUGCGCAGGCGGUUGUGUAAGACAGAUGUGAAAUCCCCGGGCUCAACCUGGGAAUUGCAUUUGUGACUGCACGGCUAGAGUGUGUCAGAGGGGGGUAGAAUUCCACGUGUAGCAGUGAAAUGCGUAGAU